AUUGAACGCUGGCGGCAGGCUUAACACAUGCAAGUCGCGCGGAGAGAAGUAGCUUGCUACUGAUCUUAGCGGCGGACGGGUGAGUAAUGCUUAGGAAUCUGCCUAUUAGUGGGGGACAACAUUCCGAAAGGAAUGCUAAUACCGCAUACGCCCUACGGGGGAAAGCAGGGGAUCUUCGGACCUUGCGCUACUAGAUGAGCAUAAGUCGGAUUAGCUAGUUCGUGGGGUGAAGGCCUACCAAGGAGACGAUCUGUAGCGGGUCUGAGAGGAUGAUCCGCCACACUGGGACUGAGACACGGCCCAUACUCCUACGGGAGGCAGCAGUGGGGAAUAUUGGACAAUGGGCGGAAGCCUGAUCCAGCCAUGCCGCGUGUGUGAAGAAGGCCUUUUGGUUGUAAAGCACUUUAAGCGAGGAGGAGGCUCUUAAGGUUAAUACCCUUGAUGAGUGGACGUUACUCGCAGAAUAAGCACCGGCUAACUCUGUGCCAGCAGCCGCCGUAA
Molecule: ribosomal RNA, 501 nt
Filed under: uncultured bacterium
Lineage: Bacteria
Description: partial 16S ribosomal RNA
Rfam family: Bacterial small subunit ribosomal RNA
Source: RNAcentral